GACGAACGCUGGCGGCAUGCCUAACACAUGCAAGUCGAACGGAGAUUAUUUCGGUAAUCUUAGUGGCGAACGGGUGAGUACCGCGUGGGCAACCUGCCCUCUAGAUGGGGACACCAUCCCGAAAGGGGUGCUAAUACCGAAUGUGACAGCAAUCUCGCAUGAGGAUGCUGUGAAAGAUGGCCUCUAUUUAUAAGCUAUCGCUAGAGGAUGGGCCUGCGUCUGAUUAGCUAGUUGGUGGGGUAACGGCCUACCAAGGCGAUGAUCAGUAGCCGGUCUGAGAGGAUGAACGGCCACAUUGGGACUGAGACACGGCCCAGACUCCUACGGGAGGCAGCAGUGGGGAAUCUUCCGCAAUGGGCGAAAGCCUGACGGAGCAAUGCCGCGUGAGUGAUGAAGGAAUUCGUUCCGUAAAGCUCUUUUGUUUAUGACGAAUGUGCAGAUUGUGAACAAUGAUCUGUAAUGACGGUAGUAAACGAAUAAGCCACGGCUAACUACGUG
This 498-nucleotide ribosomal RNA is filed under the name uncultured bacterium. RNAcentral's name for it is "partial 16S ribosomal RNA". It matches the Rfam family "Bacterial small subunit ribosomal RNA", at positions 28 to 507 of the family's 1533-position model. The record is from RNAcentral.